UCGAGAAUCUUCGGCAAUGGGCGCAAGCCUGACCGAGCGACGCCGCGUGGGGGACGAAGGCCUUCGGGUUGUAAACCCCUGUCGGGGGGGAGGAAGGGGCGCAAGCCCUUGACCGAUCCCUGGAGGAAGCACGGGCUAAGUUCGUGCCAGCAGCCGCGGUAAGACGAACCGUGCGAACGUUAUUCGGAAUCACUGGGCUUAAAGCGCGUGUAGGCGGGGCGGCACGUCGGUCGCUGAAAGCCCCCGGCUCAACCGGGGAACGGGCGCCGAUACGACCGCCCUGGAGGGACGUAGGGGGGCCUGGAACUUCCGGUGGAGCGGUGAAAUGCGUUGAGAUCGGAAGGAACGCCCGUGGCGAAAGCGAGGCCCUGGACGUCUGCUGACGCUGAGACGCGAAAGCCAGGGGAGCGAACGGGAUUAGAUACCCCCGUAGUCC
Molecule: ribosomal RNA, 436 nt
Filed under: uncultured bacterium
Lineage: Bacteria
Description: bacterial SSU rRNA
Rfam family: Bacterial small subunit ribosomal RNA
Source: RNAcentral